Molecule: unclassified non-coding RNA, 334 nt
Filed under: soil metagenome
Description: partial contains 5.8S ribosomal RNA, internal transcribed spacer 2, and large subunit ribosomal RNA
Rfam family: 5.8S ribosomal RNA (bases 1-120)
Source: RNAcentral
GAUGAAGAACGUAGCGAAAUGCGAUAAGUAAUGUGAAUUGCAGAAUUCAGUGAAUCAUCGAAUCUUUGAACGCACAUUGCGCCCUGUGGUAUUCCGCAGGGCAUGCCUGUUCGAGCGUCAUUGACACCCUCAAGCUCUGCUUGGUCUUGGGCGUUUGUGCCUGCCGUUGCGCAGGGACUCGCCUCAAACUCAUUGGCAGCCUGCCUUUGCCGGUCUUUGCACAGCACAGUCGUGCCAAAGCCGCGGUGAGCAGGCGCUCCACAAGCCCUUUUCAGCUUGACCUCGGAUCAGGUAGGAAUACACGCUGAACUUAAGCAUAUCAAUAAGCGGAGGA